ACGCUAGCGGCAGGCCUAAUACAUGCAAGUCGAGGGGUAGAUAAGUGCUUGCACUUAUUGAGACCGGCGAACGGGUGCGUAACACGUAUGCAACCUACCUUCAACUGGAGAAUAGCCCGAAGAAAUUCGGAUUAAUACUCCAUAAUUUUACUUUAAGGCAUCUUAUAGUAAUUAAAGCUCCGGCGGUUGAAGAUGGGCAUGCGGUCCAUUAGUUAGUUGGUGAGGUAACGGCUCACCAAGGCCACGAUGGAUAGGGGGUCUGAGAGGAUGAUCCCCCACACUGGUACUGAGACACGGACCAGACUCCUACGGGAGGCAGCAGUAGGGAAUAUUGGACAAUGGGCGAAAGCCUGAUCCAGCCAUGCCGCGUGCAGGAUGACUGCCCUAUGGGUUGUAAACUGCUUUUAUAUGGGAAGAAACUCCCCGACGUGUCGGGGCUUGACGGUACCAUACGAAUAAGGAUCGGCUAACUCCGUGCCAGCAGCCGCGGUAAUACGGAGGAUCCAAGCGUUGUCCGGAUUUAUUGGGUUUAAAGGGUGCGUAGGCGGAAUAAUAAGUCAGUGGUGAAAGCCUGUAGCUCAACUACAGAACUGCCAUUGAAACUGUUAUUCUUGAGUUAGGUCGAGGUGGAUGGAAUGUAUCAUGUAGCGGUGAAAUGCUUAGAUAUGAUACAGAACACCGAUUGCGAAGGCAGUUCACUAGACCUACACUGACGCUGAGGCACGAAAGCAUGGGGAUCGAACAGGAUUAGAUACCCUGGUAGUCCAUGCUGUAAACGAUGGAAAUACUCGAUGUUGGC
Molecule: ribosomal RNA, 799 nt
Filed under: uncultured Bacteroidota bacterium
Lineage: Bacteria; Pseudomonadati; Bacteroidota
Description: bacterial SSU rRNA
Rfam family: Bacterial small subunit ribosomal RNA
Source: RNAcentral